This is a long non-coding RNA of Myotis myotis, 542 nucleotides long. RefSeq lists it as uncharacterized. The transcript is spliced from 2 exons. The record is from RefSeq and is a predicted model, not a curated record. Lineage: Eukaryota; Metazoa; Chordata; Mammalia; Chiroptera; Vespertilionidae.
ACACGGACCUCUGGAUGGAGUCUCCCAGGAUGACGACGAACUUGUUGUGGAGCAGCUGCUGCACUUCAGAGGACUGCAGCUGGGCCAUGAUGCCCAGGUCCAGUGGCCCAGCUCCUUUCUUGCACGCAGGAAGAGUGACAUUUAAUAGGGCAGUAGCUUCAGAGACCCUGCAGCGAAGUCUUAAAUCACAGAGGUAAUUGUCUGGUAUUCGCUGGCACCCUGCCCCAGGGGCAAAAGGACCCCCUCCCUCUCUUGGGCCGGUGAGAAGCUGACCUGUCCACACUGACGUCUGAAAACCACCCCACCCCGGUGGAAAAUCCCUGCCGGACAAACGGCUCCCGGAAAAUGGCCAAACCGCAGGACAGACCGCAGGUUUCACCUGACCCUGGAAAGCCCCGACUGCCACCAGUUUCGGCCAGCAACAAUUGCCUCAGAAAAAUAUAAAACCUUGCCCCUGCCCAGGUUGGGCGCGGCUUCUCCUGCUCCCCUCUCUGAGCCGGUGAACCCGCCCGUGUGCUCCCAAUAAAGCCUGUUUAAUCUGG